AGAGUUUGAUUCUGGCUCAGGAUGAACGCUAGCGACAGGCUUAACACAUGCAAGUCGAGGGGCAGCAUAGAAGUAGCAAUACUUGGUGGCGACCGGCGCACGGGUGAGUAACGCGUAUGCAACCUACCUAUCAGAGGGGAAUAACCCGGCGAAAGUCGGACUAAUACCGCAUAAAACAGGGGCACCGCAUGGUGAUAUUUGUUAAAGAAAUUCGCUGAUAGAUGGGCAUGCGUUCCAUUAGGUAGUUGGUGAGGUAACGGCUCACCAAGCCGACGAUGGAUAGGGAACUGAGAGGUUGGUCCCCCACACUGGUACUGAGACACGGACCAGACUCCUACGGGAGGCAGCAGUGAGGAAUAUUGGUCAAUGGGCGGGAGCCUGAACCAGCCAAGUCGCGUGAAGGAAGAAGGAUCUAUGGUUCGUAAACUUCUUUUGCAGGGGAAUAAAGUGCAGGACGUGUCCUGUUUUGUAUGUACCCUGAGAAUAAGGAUCGGCUAACUCCGUGCCAGCAGCCGC
Molecule: ribosomal RNA, 516 nt
Filed under: uncultured bacterium
Lineage: Bacteria
Description: bacterial SSU rRNA
Rfam family: Bacterial small subunit ribosomal RNA
Source: RNAcentral